Molecule: transfer RNA, 88 nt
Filed under: Alkalidesulfovibrio alkalitolerans DSM 16529
Lineage: Bacteria; Pseudomonadati; Thermodesulfobacteriota; Desulfovibrionia; Desulfovibrionales; Desulfovibrionaceae
Description: Desulfovibrio alkalitolerans DSM 16529 tRNA
Rfam family: tRNA
About the family: Transfer RNA (tRNA) molecules are approximately 80 nucleotides in length. Their secondary structure includes four short double-helical elements and three loops (D, anti-codon, and T loops).
Source: Rfam by way of RNAcentral
GGAGAGGUGUCCGAGCGGCCGAAGGAGCACGAUUGGAAAUCGUGUGUACCCCUAAAGGGUACCGAGGGUUCAAAUCCCUCCCUCUCCG